AAGGCGGACGGCUCAGUAACACGUAGUCAACUUACCCUAUGGACGAGGAUAAUCUCGGGAAACUGAGCAUAAUACUCGAUAGAUCAUAAUGCCUGGAAUGGUUUAUGAUUAAAAUGGUUCGUCGCCAUAGGAUGGGACUGCGGCCUAUCAGCUUGUUGGUGAGGUAAUGGCCCACCAAGGCGAUUACAGGUACGGGCUCUGAGAGGAGAAGCCCGGAGAUGGGUACUGAGACAAGGACCCAGGCCCUAUGGGGCGCAGCAGGCGAGAAAACUUUGCGAUGUGCGAAAGCACGACAAGGUUAAUCCGAGUGAUUUCUGCUAAAGAAAUCUUUUGCAAGUCAUAAAACCACUAGUGAAUAAGGGGUGGGCAAGUUCUGGUGUCAGCCGCCGCGGUAAAACCAGCACCUCAAGUGGUCAGGAGGAUUAUUGGGCCUAAAGCAUCCGUAGCCGGCUCUGUAAGUUUUCGGUUAAAUCCAUGUGCUCAACGCAUGGGCUGCCGAAAAUACUGCAUAGCUAGGGAGUGGGAGAGGUAGACGGUACUCAGUAGGAAGGGGUAAAAUCCUUUGAUCUAUUGAUGGCCACCUGUGGCGAAGGCGGCCUACCAGAACACGUUCGACGGUGAGGGAUGAAAGCUGGGGGAGCAAACCGGAUUAGAUACCCGGGUAGUCCCAGCUGUAAACGAUGCAGACUCGAUGAUGCAUUG
This 702-nucleotide ribosomal RNA is filed under the name uncultured archaeon. Its description in RNAcentral is "bacterial SSU rRNA". It matches the Rfam family "Archaeal small subunit ribosomal RNA", at positions 78 to 781 of the family's 1478-position model. The record is from RNAcentral.